GGGGCGGCAGCUACACAUGCAGUCGAGCGGAUGAGGGGAGCUUGCUCCCUGAUUUAGCGGCGGACGGGUGAGUAAUGUAUAGGGAGCUGCCCGAUAGAGGGGGAUACCAGUUGGAAACGACUGUUAAUACCGCAUAAUGUCUACGGACCAAAGUGUGGGACCUUCGGGCCACAUGCUAUCGGAUGCACCUAUAUGGGAUUAGCUAGUUGGUGGGGUAACGGCUCACCAAGGCGACGAUCCCUAGCUGGUUUGAGAGGAUGAUCAGCCACACUGGAACUGAGACACGGUCCAGACUCCUACGGGAGGCAGCAGUGGGGAAUAUUGGACAAUGGGCGCAAGCCUGAUCCAGCCAUGCCGCGUGUGUGAAGAAGGCCUUCGGGUUGUAAAGCACUUUCAGCGAGGAGGAAGGGAUGUAUGUUAAUAGCAUGCAUUUUUGACGUUACUCGCAGAAGAAGCACCGGCUAACUCUGUGCCAGCAGCCGCGGUAAUACAGAGGGUGCAAGCGUUAAUCGGAAUUACUGGGCGUAAAGCGCACGUAGGCGGUUGUUUAAGUUGGAUGUGAAAGCCCCGGGCUCAACCUGGGAAUUGCAUUCAAAACUGGACAACUAGAGUGUGUGAGAGGGGGGUAGAAUUCCAAGUGUAGCGGUGAAAUGCGUAGAGAUUUGGAGGAAUACCAGUGGCGAAGGCGGCCCCCUGGCACAACACUGACGCUCAGGUGCGAAAGCGUGGGGAGCAAACAGGAUUAGAUACCCUGGUAGUCCACGCCGUAAACGAUGUCUACUAGCUGUUCGUGACCUUGUGUUGUGAGUAGCGCAGCUAACGCAUUAAGUAGACCGCCUGGGGAGUACGGUCGCAAGAUUAAAACUCAAAUGAAUUGACGGGGGCCCGCACAAGCGGUGGAGCAUGUGGUUUAAUUCGACGCAACGCGAAGAACCCUUACCUACUCUUGACAUCCAGAGAAGUCGGCAGAGAUGCUGAUGUGCCUUCGGGAACUCUGAGACAGGUGCUGCAUGGCUGUCGUCAGCUCGUGUUGUGAAAUGUUGGGUUAAGUCCCGCAACGAGCGCAACCCUUAUCCUUAGUGCCAGCGAUCGUCGGGACUCUAGGAGACUGCCGUGAUAAACCGAGAGGUGGGGACGACGUCAAGUCAUC
This 1150-nucleotide ribosomal RNA is filed under the name Rheinheimera sp. R13-30. RNAcentral describes it as "bacterial SSU rRNA". It matches the Rfam family "Bacterial small subunit ribosomal RNA", at positions 38 to 1194 of the family's 1533-position model. The record is from RNAcentral. Lineage: Bacteria; Pseudomonadati; Pseudomonadota; Gammaproteobacteria; Chromatiales; Chromatiaceae.